Molecule: unclassified non-coding RNA, 200 nt
Filed under: Chloridium sp.
Lineage: Eukaryota; Fungi; Ascomycota; Sordariomycetes; Chaetosphaeriales; Chaetosphaeriaceae
Description: partial internal transcribed spacer 2
Source: RNAcentral
UUAAGUUCAGUGGGUAUUCCUACCUGAUUCGAGGUCAACCACUAAAAAGAUGGGGUUUUCCGGCUGGACAACGUCCCACACCCAGAACGAGAUGUAACUACUGCGUUCGGUUUUGGGGCGCCGCCGCCGCUUGCUUUGGGAGGCUGCAGUGCGUCCUCCAACGCCAGGCAGGGCCUGAGGGUUGCAAUGACGCUCGAACA